This 750-nucleotide ribosomal RNA is filed under the name uncultured Glomus. RNAcentral's name for it is "SSU rRNA". It matches the Rfam family "Eukaryotic small subunit ribosomal RNA", at positions 338 to 1092 of the family's 1831-position model. The record is from RNAcentral. Lineage: Eukaryota; Fungi; Glomeromycota; Glomeromycetes; Glomerales; Glomeraceae.
GGCCUACCAUGGUGGUAACGGGUAACGGGGUGUUAGGGCACGACACCGGAGAGGGAGCCUGAGAAACGGCUACCACAUCCAAGGAUGGCAGCAGGCGCGCAAAUUACCCAAUCCCGACACGGGGAGGUAGUGACAAUAAAUAACAAUACGGGGUUCUUUCGGAUCUCGUAAUUGGAAUGAGUACAAUUUAAAUCUCUUAACGAGGAACAAUUGGAGGGCAAGUCUGGUGCCAGCAGCCGCGGUAAUUCCAGCUCCAAUAGCGUAUAUUAAAGUUGUUGCAGUUAAAAAGCUCGUAGUUGAAUUUCGGGAUUAGUACGUUGGUCGUGCCUUCGGUACGUACUGGUGUUACUGAUUUCUACCUUCUGACGAACCAUCAUGUCAUUAAUUUGGUGUGGCGGGGAAUCAGGACUGUUACUUUGAAAAAAUUAGAGUGUUUAAAGCAGGCUCGCGCUUGAAUACAUUAGCAUGGAAUAAUGAAAUAGGACGUUGACCCUAUUUUGUUGGUUUCUAGGAUUGACGUAAUGAUUAAUAGGGAUAGUUGGGGGCAUUAGUAUUCAAUUGUCAGAGGUGAAAUUCUUGGAUUUAUUGAAGACUAACUACUGCGAAAGCAUUUGCCAAGGAUGUUUUCAUUAAUCAAGAACGAAAGUUAGGGGAUCGAAGACGAUCAGAUACCGUCGUAGUCUUAACCAUAAACUAUGCCGACUAGGGAUCGGAUGAUGUUAUUUUUAAUGACUCAUUCGGCGCCUUACG